UUUGGUGUAUGUGCUUGGCUGAGG
RNAcentral lists this non-coding RNA (24 nucleotides) under Gallus gallus (chicken). The record is from RNAcentral. RNAcentral also lists the same sequence under 3 other names. Lineage: Eukaryota; Metazoa; Chordata; Aves; Galliformes; Phasianidae.